RNAcentral lists this small RNA (64 nucleotides) under Coleofasciculus chthonoplastes PCC 7420. Its description in RNAcentral is "Microcoleus chthonoplastes PCC 7420 Nitrogen stress-induced RNA 1". It matches the Rfam family "Nitrogen stress-induced RNA 1". The record is from Rfam by way of RNAcentral. Lineage: Bacteria; Bacillati; Cyanobacteriota; Cyanophyceae; Coleofasciculales; Coleofasciculaceae.
AGGUAGAUGCACCCUGAUGACUCCCCUCAACGCCUAUUUCUCCUUCGCGUUGAGGGUUUUUUCU